GCGAACGCUGGCGGCAGGCCUAACACAUGCAAGUCGGACGAACUCUUCGGAGUUAGUGGCGGACGGGUGAGUAACACGUGGGAACGUGCCUUUAGGUUCGGAAUAACUCAGGGAAACUUGUGCUAAUACCGAAUGUGCCCUUCGGGGGAAAGAUUUAUCGCCUUUAGAGCGGCCCGCGUCUGAUUAGCUAGUUGGUGAGGUAAAGGCUCACCAAGGCGACGAUCAGUAGCUGGUCUGAGAGGAUGAUCAGCCACAUUGGGACUGAGACACGGCCCAAACUCCUACGGGAGGCAGCAGUGGGGAAUCUUGCGCAAUGGGCGAAAGCCUGACGCAGCCAUGCCGCGUGAAUGAUGAAGGUCUUAGGAUUGUAAAAUUCUUUCACCGGGGACGAUAAUGACGGUACCCGGAGAAGAAGCCCCGGCUAACUUCGUG
RNAcentral lists this ribosomal RNA (432 nucleotides) under uncultured bacterium. Its description in RNAcentral is "partial 16S ribosomal RNA". It matches the Rfam family "Bacterial small subunit ribosomal RNA", at positions 29 to 507 of the family's 1533-position model. The record is from RNAcentral.